UUUGAAAGUUAAAUUUGAUUCUUUGAGUAGUAAGUUCUAAAAUGCCUAACCUGUCCUGGCUGGAGUAAUUAUCGUUAUUACUUUUAUUAACAUAUUGUGCUUUGGCAUUCAUUAUUUAAAGUGGUAGAAUCAAAUAAUAGUAUCCUCCUAGAAUGUAACUUUAGCUUGUACUCACUUUAGCAAUGCCAGUUUAAAUAACAUUAGCUAAACACAUAAUUAUAGACACUGUGCAGAUGAAGGUCGCUGAUUUUCAAAUUGUAUUUUUAGUUAUAUCUGUAAAAUAACUUAAAAUUUGAAUGAAAACAAAAUGUAGUUCCA
Long non-coding RNA from Dermochelys coriacea (leatherback sea turtle), 318 nucleotides. RefSeq lists it as uncharacterized. The transcript has 3 exons. The record is from RefSeq and is a predicted model, not a curated record. NCBI's taxonomy places the organism in Eukaryota, Metazoa, Chordata, Testudines, Dermochelyidae.